This 560-nucleotide ribosomal RNA is filed under the name uncultured Glomus. RNAcentral's name for it is "eukaryotic LSU rRNA". It matches the Rfam family "Eukaryotic large subunit ribosomal RNA", at positions 156 to 636 of the family's 3401-position model. Lineage: Eukaryota; Fungi; Glomeromycota; Glomeromycetes; Glomerales; Glomeraceae. The record is from RNAcentral.
AAACGUUUUCUGCAUCUUGAGUUAAUCAAAAUCCUCUGGAAUGGGGUAUCAUGGAGGGUGACAAUCCCGUUCAUGGUUAAUUCUCAGGUGCUUUAUGAUACGUUUUCGAAGAGUCGAGUUGUUUGGGAUUGCAGCUCAAAAUGGGAGGUAAAUUUCUCCUAAAGCUAAAUAUUGGCGAGAGACCGAUAGCGAACAAGUACCGUGAGGGAAAGAUGAAAAGAACUUUGAAAAGAGAGUUAAACAGUACGUGAAAUUGUUGGAAGGGAAACGAUUGAAGUCAGUCGUACCAACGGGAAAUCAACCUUUCGAGCGGGUUUUGGGGUUUCAAAGAGUUUCAAAGCCUUUGGGAUUUCAAAUUUCUUCUCUUCUGGUGUACUUUCUCGUAGGUAGGUCAACAUCGAUUUUGAGCAUCAUAAAAAGACUGGAGGAAUGUAGCUUCGAUCUCGUAUUGAAGUGUUAUAGACUUUGGUAAAUGUGAUGAUCAAGAUCGAGGAUUGCAACGAAUAUCCUUUUGGGCUAUUCGUCUGAUCUCUGAUCGUUGCCUUGGUAUCGAAAGCUUG